GACGAACGCUGGCGGCGUGCCUAAUCCAUGCAAGUAGAACGCAGUUGCGAACGGGUGAGUAACGCGUAGGUACCUGCCUCAUAGCGGGGGAUAACUAUUGGCAACGAUAGCUAAUACCGCAUACUGUGAGCUGGACCUGCGUUGUAUUAGCUAGUUGGUGAGGUAAAGGCUCACCAAGGCGACGAUACAUAGCCGACCUGAGAGGGUUAUCUGCCACACUGGGAACGAGACACGUCCCAGACUCCUACGGGAGGCAGCAGUAGGGAAUCUUCGGCAAGUGACGGAAGUCUGACCGAGCAACGCCGCGUUAGUGAAGAAGGUUUUCGGAUCGUAAAGCUCUUUUGUUAGAGAAGCGGUAUCUAACCAGAAAGCCACGGCUAACUACGUGCCAGCCGCCGCGGUAAUUC
This 407-nucleotide ribosomal RNA is filed under the name uncultured bacterium. Its description in RNAcentral is "partial 16S ribosomal RNA". It matches the Rfam family "Bacterial small subunit ribosomal RNA", at positions 28 to 526 of the family's 1533-position model. The record is from RNAcentral.